Molecule: ribosomal RNA, 1154 nt
Filed under: Escherichia coli
Lineage: Bacteria; Pseudomonadati; Pseudomonadota; Gammaproteobacteria; Enterobacterales; Enterobacteriaceae
Description: bacterial LSU rRNA
Rfam family: Bacterial large subunit ribosomal RNA
Source: RNAcentral
GGGUUGUGAGGUUAAGCGACUAAGCGUACACGGUGGAUGCCCUGGCAGUCAGAGGCGAUGAAGGACGUGCUAAUCUGCGAUAAGCGUCGGUGAGGUGAUAUGAACCGUUAUAACCGGCGAUUUCCGAAUGGGGAAACCCAGUGUGUUUCGACACACUAUCAUUAACUGAAUCCAUAGGUUAAUGAGGCGAACCGGGGGAACUGAAACAUCUAAGUACCCCGAGGAAAAGAAAUCAACCGAGAUUCCCCCAGUAGCGGCGAGCGAACGGGGAGGAGCCCAGAGCCUGAAUCAGUGUGUGUGUUAGUGGAAGCGUCUGGAAAGGCGCGCGAUACAGGGUGACAGCCCCGUACACAAAAAUACACAUAUUGUGAGCUCGAUGAGUAGGGCGGGACACGUGGUAUCCUGUCUGAAUAUGGGGGGACCAUCCUCCAAGGCUAAAUACUCCUGACUGACCGAUAGUGAACCAGUACCGUGAGGGAAAGGCGAAAAGAACCCCGGCGAGGGGAGUGAAAAAGAACCUGAAACCGUGUACGUACAAGCAGUGGGAGCCUCUUUAUGGGGUGACUGCGUACCUUUUGUAUAAUGGGUCAGCGACUUAUAUUCUGUAGCAAGGUUAACCGAAUAGGGGAGCCGAAGGGAAACCGAGUCUUAACUGGGCGUUAAGUUGCAGGGUAUAGACCCGAAACCCGGUGAUCUAGCCAUGGGCAGGUUGAAGGUUGGGUAACACUAACUGGAGGACCGAACCGACUAAUGUUGAAAAAUUAGCGGAUGACUUGUGGCUGGGGGUGAAAGGCCAAUCAAACCGGGAGAUAGCUGGUUCUCCCCGAAAGCUAUUUAGGUAGCGCCUCGUGAAUUCAUCUCCGGGGGUAGAGCACUGUUUCGGCAAGGGGGUCAUCCCGACUUACCAACCCGAUGCAAACUGCGAAUACCGGAGAAUGUUAUCACGGGAGACACACGGCGGGUGCUAACGUCCGUCGUGAAGAGGGAAACAACCCAGACCGCCAGCUAAGGUCCCAAAGUCAUGGUUAAGUGGGAAACGAUGUGGGAAGGCCCAGACAGCCAGGAUGUUGGCUUAGAAGCAGCCAUCAUUUAAAGAAAGCGUAAUAGCUCACUGGUCGAGUCGGCCUGCGCGGAAGAUGUAACGGGGCUAAACC